GGAAGGGUUCGCUAGGGGCCAAGCGGCCGGUUUGCUAAACCGGUGGGCGCCCUCAAAGGCGCCUCGCGGGUUCGAAUCCCGCCCCUUCCGCCA
RNAcentral lists this transfer RNA (93 nucleotides) under Bacillota bacterium. Its description in RNAcentral is "Firmicutes bacterium (anaerobic digester metagenome) tRNA-Ser". It matches the Rfam family "Selenocysteine transfer RNA". Lineage: Bacteria; Bacillati; Bacillota. The record is from RNAcentral. RNAcentral also lists the same sequence under 1 other name.